This 459-nucleotide ribosomal RNA is filed under the name uncultured bacterium. RNAcentral's name for it is "partial 16S ribosomal RNA". It matches the Rfam family "Bacterial small subunit ribosomal RNA", at positions 338 to 795 of the family's 1533-position model. The record is from RNAcentral.
CCUACGGGUGGCAGCAGUGAGGAAUAUUGGUCAAUGGCCGAGAGGCUGAACCAGCCAAGUCGCGUGAGGGAAGACGGCCCUACGGGUUGUAAACCUCUUUUGUCGGGGAGCAAAGCGAACCACGUGUGGUUCAUUGAGAGUACCCGAAGAAAAAGCAUCGGCUAACUCCGUGCCAGCAGCCGCGGUAAUACGGAGGAUGCGAGCGUUAUCCGGAUUUAUUGGGUUUAAAGGGUGCGCAGGCGGAGGUGCAAGUCAGCGGUCAAAUUGCGGGGCUCAACCCCGUACUGCCGUUGAAACUGCAUCCCUUGAGUGCGCGAGAAGUAUGCGGAAUGCGUGGUGUAGCGGUGAAAUGCAUAGAUAUUGCGCAGAACUCCGAUUGCGAAGGCAGCAUACCGGCGGCGAUCUGACGCUGAGGCACGAAAGCGUGGGUAUCGAACAGGAUUAGAUACCCCGGUAGUC